GUCCAGGUGAGUGACAGAUAUAGGGAAGAUAAUCAAGGAGGUGAUGGAGUCCAGGUGAGUGACAGAUAUAGAGAAGAUAAUCAAGGAGGUGAUGGAGUCCAGGUGAGUGACAGAUAUAGAGAAGAUAAUCAAGGAGGUGAUGGAGUCCAGGUGAGUGACAGAUAUAGAGAAGAUAAUCAAGGAGGUGAUGGAGUCCAGGUGAGUGACAGAUAUAGGGAAGAUAAUCAAGGAGGUGAUGGAGUCCAGGUGAGUGACAGAUAUAGGGAAGAUAAUCAAGGAGGUGAUGGAGUCCAGGUGAGUGACAGAUAGAGGGAAGAUAAUCAAGGAGGUGAUGGAGUCCAGGUGAGUGACAGAUAGAGGGAAGAUAAUCAAGGAGGUGAUGGAGUCCAGGUGAGUGACAGAUAUAGAGAAGAUAAUCAAGGAGGUGAUGGAGUCCAGGUGAGUGACAGAUAUAGGGAAGAUAAUCAAGGAGGUGAUGGAGUCCAGGUGAGUGACAGAUAUAGGGAAGAUAAUCAAGGAGGUGAUGGAGUCCAGGUGAGUGACAGAUAUAGGGAAGAUAAUCAAGGAGGUGAUGGAGUCCAUGU
Oncorhynchus keta (chum salmon) is the source of this 584-nucleotide long non-coding RNA. RefSeq lists it as uncharacterized. Lineage: Eukaryota; Metazoa; Chordata; Actinopteri; Salmoniformes; Salmonidae. The transcript has 3 exons. The record is from RefSeq and is a predicted model, not a curated record.